UUGGGAGAUACCAUGAUCAUAAAGGUGGUUUUCCUAGGGCAGAGCUUAUCCAUUGCACUCCAUCUGUAGUUCUUUAGAUGCCUUGGUAAUAUCAACUAGGUGAGGCUAAAA
Molecule: small nuclear RNA, 111 nt
Filed under: Propithecus coquereli (Coquerel's sifaka)
Lineage: Eukaryota; Metazoa; Chordata; Mammalia; Primates; Indriidae
Description: U1 spliceosomal RNA (ENSPCOG00000013313.1)
Source: RNAcentral